UUUACAUCUGAAUAGUAAUAUGAGAAAAGAAGGUCAGGUUAUGCAAAGGACUACCAUGACGAGCAUCAAAACAGACUACAGAGGCAAAAGUACAAGAAAGCAAGACAUCGGCGAUCACAACUGACUCAAAAACACACCCUCUCAGCACUAUAACAACGCGUGUGAAUGUUGUCACCAAAUACAUUUUUCCAUCACAGUAUGCUUGGUACCUUGCCAUGGAGGCACCGUUUGACUUCAUUCUUGUAUGUAGGCAUUACAUUAAAUGAAAAAAGAGCUGACGAUUGAAAAGAUACGUUUAAAAUAAGAAUUGGAUUUUGGACAUAUGUAAGGUUACAACAUCGAAAAAUUCAUACUUGUAUGCAUAUUUUAUCAUUGUCAAUUCUUGGAAUAUCCCCUUACUUUAGAAAGACAUGUCCUCAGAAAAUGGUGGUGCACAGUACUGCUUGAGAACUUCCACCUGGAUGGGCACGGCAGAAGGUUCCCACACUUCAUGGAGGAGGCCAAACAAAUGGCGGCUGGACUACUUCCACCAGUCUUCAGACUGAAGCGAAAAAGAGAAUGAGUUGGAGCUGAUGGCAGUCAGCAUGAAGAAGCUAUAUCUUUAAACUUCUGUAGAUUAUUUGUUA
Long non-coding RNA from Gadus macrocephalus (Pacific cod), 626 nucleotides. RefSeq lists it as uncharacterized. The record is from RefSeq and is a predicted model, not a curated record. Lineage: Eukaryota; Metazoa; Chordata; Actinopteri; Gadiformes; Gadidae. The transcript has 3 exons.